This 532-nucleotide ribosomal RNA is filed under the name uncultured bacterium. RNAcentral describes it as "bacterial SSU rRNA". It matches the Rfam family "Bacterial small subunit ribosomal RNA", at positions 9 to 532 of the family's 1533-position model. The record is from RNAcentral.
GAGUUUGAUCCUGGCUCAAAUUGAACGCUGGCGGCAUGCCUAACACAUGCAAGUCGAACGGAAACGAUGGGAGCUUGCUCCCAGGCGUCUAGUGGCGGACGGGUGAGUAAUACUUAGGAAUCUACCCAGUAGCGGGGGACAACAUUCGGAAACGGAUGCUAAUACCGCAUACGCUCUACGGAAGAAAGCAGGGGAUCUUCGGACCUUGCACUAUUGGAUGAGCCUAAGUCGGAUUAGCUUGUUGGUGAGGUAAAGGCUCACCAAGGCGACAAUCCGUAGCUGGUUUGAGAGGACGAUCACCCACACUGGGACUGAGACACGGCCCACACUCCUACGGGAGGCAGCAGUGGGGAAUAUUGGACAAUGGGGGCAACCCUGAUCCAGCAAUGCCGCGUGUGUGAAGAAGGCCUGCGGGUUGUAAAGCACUUUCAGUAUAGAAGAAAAGCCUACGGUUAAUAACCGUGAGUCUUGACGUUACCUACAGAAGAAGCUCCGGCUAACUCCGUGCCAGCAGCCGCGGUAAUAAGGGCGA